Small nucleolar RNA from Pantherophis guttatus, 134 nucleotides. RefSeq annotates it as small nucleolar RNA U109. NCBI's taxonomy places the organism in Eukaryota, Metazoa, Chordata, Lepidosauria, Squamata, Colubridae. The record is from RefSeq and is a predicted model, not a curated record.
CUGCAUGACGGAAGCUGUUAAUUCUUCUGCCUUCCAAGGAGAAUGAGUAUUCCUUCAGUGCUAUAAAACGAGGAGGUUUCAGAGCCGCCUACCUUGAAGCACAGGCUGCGUGGUGGUAUGCUUCUCCAACAUGA